This 525-nucleotide ribosomal RNA is filed under the name uncultured bacterium. RNAcentral describes it as "bacterial SSU rRNA". It matches the Rfam family "Bacterial small subunit ribosomal RNA", at positions 8 to 526 of the family's 1533-position model. The record is from RNAcentral.
AGGGUUUGAUUAUGGCUCAGGAUGAACGCUAGCGGCAGGCUUAACACAUGCAAGUCGAGGGGUAACAGGGAUUGCUUGCAAUCCGCUGACGACCGGCGCACGGGUGCGUAACGCGUAUGCAACCUACCUUCUACAGGGGAAUAGUCAAUAGAAAUGUUGAAUAAUACCCCAUACGAUCUUUGAAUAGCAUUAUUUAGAGAAGAAAGUUCCGGCGGUAGAAGAUGGGCAUGCGUCCUAUUAGUUAGUUGGAGAGGUAACGGCUCCCCAAGACAUCGAUAGGUAGGGGUCCUGAGAGGGAGACCCCCCACACUGGUACUGAGACACGGACCAGACUCCUACGGGAGGCAGCAGUGAGGAAUAUUGGACAAUGGAGGCAACUCUGAUCCAGCCAUGCCGCGUGCAGGAAGACUGCCCUAUGGGUUGUAAACUGCUUUUAUACAGGAAGAAAUGUACCUACGUGUAGGUAUUUGACGGUACUGUACGAAUAAGGAUCGGCUAACUCCGUGCCAGCAGCCGCGGUAAUAC